Molecule: ribosomal RNA, 501 nt
Filed under: uncultured bacterium
Lineage: Bacteria
Description: partial 16S ribosomal RNA
Rfam family: Bacterial small subunit ribosomal RNA
Source: RNAcentral
AUUGGACGCUGGCGGCAUGCCUUACACAUGCAAGUCGAACGGCAGCACGGGUGCUUGCACCUGGUGGCGAGUGGCGAACGGGUGGGUAAUAUAUCGGAACGUACCUUAUUGUGGGGGAUAACGCAGCGAAAGCUGUGCUAAUACCGCAUAAUCCCUAAGGGGGAAAGCGGGGGACCGUAAGGCCUCGCGCAAUUAGAGCGGCCGAUACCUGAUUAGCUAGUUGGUGAGGUAAAGGCUCACCAAGGCAACGAUCAGUAGCUGGUCUGAGAGGACGAUCAGCCACACUGGGACUGAGACACGGCCCAGACUCCUACGGGAGGCAGCAGUGGGGAAUUUUGGACAAUGGGGGCAACCCUGAUCCAGCAAUGCCGCGUGAGUGAAGAAGGCCUUCGGGUUGUAAAGCUCUUUUGUCAGGGAAGAAACAGCAGCUCUAACACAGUUUGCGAAUGACGGUACCUGAAGAAUAAGCACCGGCUAACUACGUGCCAGCCGCCGCGGUAA